GGGGUGUUAGCUCAGUCGGUUAGAGCAGCGAACUCAUAAUUCGUCGGUCCGGGGUUCAAGCCCCCGACGCCCCAC
This 75-nucleotide transfer RNA is filed under the name Bifidobacterium dentium. RNAcentral describes it as "tRNA-Met(cat)". It matches the Rfam family "tRNA". Rfam says of the family: Transfer RNA (tRNA) molecules are approximately 80 nucleotides in length. Their secondary structure includes four short double-helical elements and three loops (D, anti-codon, and T loops). The record is from RNAcentral. Lineage: Bacteria; Bacillati; Actinomycetota; Actinomycetes; Bifidobacteriales; Bifidobacteriaceae.